GACGAACGCUGGCGGCGUGCCUAAUACAUGCAAGUAGAACGCUGAAGGAGGAGCUUGCUUCUCUGGAUGAGUUGCGAACGGGUGAGUAACGCGUAGGUAACCUGCCUGGUAGCGGGGGAUAACUAUUGGAAACGAUAGCUAAUACCGCAUAAUAGUAGAUGUUGCAUGACAUUUACUUAAAAGGUGCAAUUGCAUCACUACCAGAUGGACCUGCGUUGUAUUAGCUAGUUGGUGGGGUAACGGCUCACCAAGGCGACGAUACAUAGCCGACCUGAGAGGGUGAUCGGCCACACUGGGACGGAGACACGGCCCAGACUCCUACGGGAGGCAGCAGUAGGGAAUCUUCGGCAAUGGACGAAAGUCUGACCGAGCAACGCCGCGUGAGUGAAGAAGGUUUUCGGAUCGUAAAGCUCUGUUGUAAGAGAAGAACGAGUGUGAGAGUGGAAAGUUCACACUGUGACGGUAUCUUACCAGAAAGGGACGGCUAACUACGUG
Molecule: ribosomal RNA, 495 nt
Filed under: uncultured bacterium
Lineage: Bacteria
Description: partial 16S ribosomal RNA
Rfam family: Bacterial small subunit ribosomal RNA
Source: RNAcentral